This 468-nucleotide ribosomal RNA is filed under the name uncultured bacterium. RNAcentral describes it as "partial 16S ribosomal RNA". It matches the Rfam family "Bacterial small subunit ribosomal RNA", at positions 28 to 507 of the family's 1533-position model. The record is from RNAcentral.
GACGAACGCUGGCGGCGUGCUUAACACAUGCAAGUCGAACGGAAAGGCCCUGCUUUUGUGGGGUGCUCGAGUGGCGAACGGGUGAGUAACACGUGAGUAACCUGCCCUUGACUUUGGGAUAACUUCAGGAAACUGGGGCUAAUACCGGAUAGGAGCUCCUGCUGCAUGGUGGGGGUUGGAAAGUUUCGGCGGUUGGGGAUGGACUCGCGGCUUAUCAGCUUGUUGGUGGGGUAGUGGCUUACCAUGGCUUUGACGGGUAGCCGGCCUGGGAGGGUGACCGGCCACAUUGGGACUGAGAUACGGCCCAGACUCCUACGGGAGGCAGCAGUGGGGAAUAUUGCACAAGGGGCGGAAGCAUGAUGCAGCAACGCCGCGUGCGGGAUGACGGCCUUCGGGUUGUAAACCGCUUUCGCCUGUGACGAAGCGUGAGUGACGGUAAUGGGUAAAGAAGCACCGGCUAACUACGUG